This 2906-nucleotide ribosomal RNA is filed under the name Escherichia coli. RNAcentral's name for it is "23S ribosomal RNA". It matches the Rfam family "Bacterial large subunit ribosomal RNA". The record is from RNAcentral. Lineage: Bacteria; Pseudomonadati; Pseudomonadota; Gammaproteobacteria; Enterobacterales; Enterobacteriaceae.
GGUUAAGCGACUAAGCGUACACGGUGGAUGCCCUGGCAGUCAGAGGCGAUGAAGGACGUGCUAAUCUGCGAUAAGCGUCGGUAAGGUGAUAUGAACCGUUAUAACCGGCGAUUUCCGAAUGGGGAAACCCAGUGUGUUUCGACACACUAUCAUUAACUGAAUCCAUAGGUUAAUGAGGCGAACCGGGGGAACUGAAACAUCUAAGUACCCCGAGGAAAAGAAAUCAACCGAGAUUCCCCCAGUAGCGGCGAGCGAACGGGGAGCAGCCCAGAGCCUGAAUCAGUAUGUGUGUUAGUGGAAGCGUCUGGAAAGGCGCGCGAUACAGGGUGACAGCCCCGUACACAAAAAUGCACAUGCUGUGAGCUCGAUGAGUAGGGCGGGACACGUGGUAUCCUGUCUGAAUAUGGGGGGACCAUCCUCCAAGGCUAAAUACUCCUGACUGACCGAUAGUGAACCAGUACCGUGAGGGAAAGGCGAAAAGAACCCCGGCGAGGGGAGUGAAAAAGAACCUGAAACCGUGUACGUACAAGCAGUGGGAGCACGCUUAGGCGUGUGACUGCGUACCUUUUGUAUAAUGGGUCAGCGACUUAUAUUCUGUAGCAAGGUUAACCGAAUAGGGGAGCCGAAGGGAAACCGAGUCUUAACUGGGCGUUAAGUUGCAGGGUAUAGACCCGAAACCCGGUGAUCUAGCCAUGGGCAGGUUGAAGGUUGGGUAACACUAACUGGAGGACCGAACCGACUAAUGUUGAAAAAUUAGCGGAUGACUUGUGGCUGGGGGUGAAAGGCCAAUCAAACCGGGAGAUAGCUGGUUCUCCCCGAAAGCUAUUUAGGUAGCGCCUCGUGAAUUCAUCUCCGGGGGUAGAGCACUGUUUCGGCAAGGGGGUCAUCCCGACUUACCAACCCGAUGCAAACUGCGAAUACCGGAGAAUGUUAUCACGGGAGACACACGGCGGGUGCUAACGUCCGUCGUGAAGAGGGAAACAACCCAGACCGCCAGCUAAGGUCCCAAAGUCAUGGUUAAGUGGGAAACGAUGUGGGAAGGCCCAGACAGCCAGGAUGUUGGCUUAGAAGCAGCCAUCAUUUAAAGAAAGCGUAAUAGCUCACUGGUCGAGUCGGCCUGCGCGGAAGAUGUAACGGGGCUAAACCAUGCACCGAAGCUGCGGCAGCGACGCUGAUGCGUUGUUGGGUAGGGGAGCGUUCUGUAAGCCUGCGAAGGUGUGCUGUGAGGCAUGCUGGAGGUAUCAGAAGUGCGAAUGCUGACAUAAGUAACGAUAAAGCGGGUGAAAAGCCCGCUCGCCGGAAGACCAAGGGUUCCUGUCCAACGUUAAUCGGGGCAGGGUGAGUCGACCCCUAAGGCGAGGCCGAAAGGCGUAGUCGAUGGGAAACAGGUUAAUAUUCCUGUACUUGGUGUUACUGCGAAGGGGGGACGGAGAAGGCUAUGUUGGCCGGGCGACGGUUGUCCCGGUUUAAGCGUGUAGGCUGGUUUUCCAGGCAAAUCCGGAAAAUCAAGGCUGAGGUGUGAUGACGAGGCACUACGGUGCUGAAGCAACAAAUGCCCUGCUUCCAGGAAAAGCCUCUAAGCAUCAGGUAACAUCAAAUCGUACCCCAAACCGACACAGGUGGUCAGGUAGAGAAUACCAAGGCGCUUGAGAGAACUCGGGUGAAGGAACUAGGCAAAAUGGUGCCGUAACUUCGGGAGAAGGCACGCUGAUAUGUAGGUGAAGUCCCUCGCGGAUGGAGCUGAAAUCAGUCGAAGAUACCAGCUGGCUGCAACUGUUUAUUAAAAACACAGCACUGUGCAAACACGAAAGUGGACGUAUACGGUGUGACGCCUGCCCGGUGCCGGAAGGUUAAUUGAUGGGGUUAGCCGCAAGGCGAAGCUCUUGAUCGAAGCCCCGGUAAACGGCGGCCGUAACUAUAACGGUCCUAAGGUAGCGAAAUUCCUUGUCGGGUAAGUUCCGACCUGCACGAAUGGCGUAAUGAUGGCCAGGCUGUCUCCACCCGAGACUCAGUGAAAUUGAACUCGCUGUGAAGAUGCAGUGUACCCGCGGCAAGACGGAAAGACCCCGUGAACCUUUACUAUAGCUUGACACUGAACAUUGAGCCUUGAUGUGUAGGAUAGGUGGGAGGCUUUGAAGUGUGGACGCCAGUCUGCAUGGAGCCGACCUUGAAAUACCACCCUUUAAUGUUUGAUGUUCUAACGUUGACCCGUAAUCCGGGUUGCGGACAGUGUCUGGUGGGUAGUUUGACUGGGGCGGUCUCCUCCUAAAGAGUAACGGAGGAGCACGAAGGUUGGCUAAUCCUGGUCGGACAUCAGGAGGUUAGUGCAAUGGCAUAAGCCAGCUUGACUGCGAGCGUGACGGCGCGAGCAGGUGCGAAAGCAGGUCAUAGUGAUCCGGUGGUUCUGAAUGGAAGGGCCAUCGCUCAACGGAUAAAAGGUACUCCGGGGAUAACAGGCUGAUACCGCCCAAGAGUUCAUAUCGACGGCGGUGUUUGGCACCUCGAUGUCGGCUCAUCACAUCCUGGGGCUGAAGUAGGUCCCAAGGGUAUGGCUGUUCGCCAUUUAAAGUGGUACGCGAGCUGGGUUUAGAACGUCGUGAGACAGUUCGGUCCCUAUCUGCCGUGGGCGCUGGAGAACUGAGGGGGGCUGCUCCUAGUACGAGAGGACCGGAGUGGACGCAUCACUGGUGUUCGGGUUGUCAUGCCAAUGGCACUGCCCGGUAGCUAAAUGCGGAAGAGAUAAGUGCUGAAAGCAUCUAAGCACGAAACUUGCCCCGAGAUGAGUUCUCCCUGACUCCUUGAGAGUCCUGAAGGAACGUUGAAGACGACGACGUUGAUAGGCCGGGUGUGUAAGCGCAGCGAUGCGUUGAGCUAACCGGUACUAAUGAACCGUGAGGCUUAACCUU